CCUACGGGAGGCAGCAGUGGGGAAUAUUGCACAAUGGGGGAAACCCUGAUGCAGCGACGCCGCGUGAGUGAGGAAGUAUUUCGGUAUGUAAAGCUCUAUCAGCAGGGAAGAAAAUGACGGUACCUGACUAAGAAGCCCCGGCUAACUACGUGCCAGCAGCCGCGGUAAUACGUAGGGGGCAAGCGUUAUCCGGAUUUACUGGGUGUAAAGGGAGCGUAGACGGCUAAUCAAGUCAGAAGUGAAAACGCAGGGCUCAACUUUGGGACUGCUUUUGAAACUGAGUAGCUAGAGUGCAGGAGAGGUAAGCGGAAUUCCUAGUGUAGCGGUGAAAUGCGUAGAUAUUAGGAGGAACACCAGUGGCGAAGGCGGCUUACUGGACUGUAACUGACGUUGAGGCUCGAAAGCGUGGGGAGCAAACAGGAUUAGAUACCCCUGUAGUC
Molecule: ribosomal RNA, 440 nt
Filed under: uncultured bacterium
Lineage: Bacteria
Description: partial 16S ribosomal RNA
Rfam family: Bacterial small subunit ribosomal RNA
Source: RNAcentral